GCGGUGUGGAAUUAACACGAUGUGUAAAAGCGGGUGUAGAAUUAACACGGUGUUAAAAGCGGUGUGGAAUUAACACGGUGUUAAAAGCGGUGUAGAAUUAACACGGUGUUAAAAGCGGUGUAGAAUUAACACGAUGUUAAAAGCGGUGUAGAAUUAACAACGGUGUUAAAAGCGGUGUGGAAUUAACACGGUGUUAAAAGCGGUGUGGAAUUAACACGGUGUUAAAAGCGGUGUGGAAUUAACACUGUCUUAAAAGCGGUGUGGAAUUAACACGAUGUUAAAGCGGUGUAGAUUAACACGAUGUUAAAAGCGGUGUGGAAUUAACACGAUGUUAAAAGCGGUGUGGAAUUAACACGAUGUUAAAAGCGGUGUAGAAUUAACACGAUGUUAAAAGCGGUGUAGAAUUAACACGGUGUUAAAAGCGGUGUAGAAUUAACACGGUGUUAAAAGCGGUGUAGAAUUAACACUGUGUUAAAAAGCGUGUAGAAUUAAUGAAUACAGCUGUGCAUUAACACCUGCAGUGUAGAAUUAAUGAAUACAGCUGUGCAUUAACACCUGCAGUGUAGAAUUAAUGAAUACAGCUGUGCAUUAACACUGCAGUGUAGAAUUAAUGAAUACAGCUGUGCAUUAACACCUGCAGUGUAGAAUUAAUGAAUACAGCUGUGCAUUAACACCUGCAGUGAAUUAACAUGAUGUUUCUACAUAUGAACUUUACUGAUCACUCAGAUUGUGUGUGUGCG
Molecule: long non-coding RNA, 740 nt
Organism: Ictalurus punctatus (channel catfish)
Lineage: Eukaryota; Metazoa; Chordata; Actinopteri; Siluriformes; Ictaluridae
Source: Ensembl